This 301-nucleotide ribosomal RNA is filed under the name uncultured bacterium. RNAcentral's name for it is "partial 16S ribosomal RNA". It matches the Rfam family "Bacterial small subunit ribosomal RNA", at positions 509 to 807 of the family's 1533-position model. The record is from RNAcentral.
CAGUAGCCGCGGGAAUACGUAGGGUGCGAGCGUUAAUCGGAAUUACUGGGCGUAAAGCGUGCGCAGGCGGUUUUGUAAGACAGGCGUGAAAUCCCCGGGCUUAACCUGGGAAUGGCGCUUGUGACUGCAAAGCUAGAGUGCGGCAGAGGGGGAUGGAAUUCCGCGUGUAGCAGUGAAAUGCGUAGAUAUGCGGAGGAACACCGAUGGCGAAGGCAAUCCCCUGGGCCUGCACUGACGCUCAUGCAUGAAAGCGUGGGGAGCAAACAGGAUUAGAUACCCGUGUAGUCCCUGUCUCUUAUAC